CUGGUCCGUCUUGGGUCCGUCCUCUUGUCCCCUUCGCCCUCUGCUCUCGCCCCUUCCUCUUUCAUGUCGAUGUGAUGAGUUGUUGUCCAGCGCGGGUUGGUCCAUUCAUCAGUUUAUUGUUUUGUUUGUCAUUGGUUUGCUGCUGGCCGGCGGGCCGCAUGCGUCAUGUGCUGAUUUUAUUGGGGUUAAAUUGGCCAUGUCUGAAAUCUGAAAUGGAAUUGCACGAUUUGACUAUUUUGCUUGACUGUUUCUAGUCUUGGUCUCCUGUUUGGAUAACUCAUCGGUACGACCAGUCUAAGCUUAGGUCACUUCGGUUUGCAUUUUUGUUGUUGAUGAAUACACAGUAACAGCAUGAGCAUCCUGCGAAUUAACCUGUGGUUGAGUUGGUUAGGUGGACAGUGAUAUCCCUAACCCACCAGGGUUCAAAUCCUGGUGCUCCCAUUAUUUCUGGAUUUAUUUCGGGAUUUCCGGCGAUACAUUUUUAGUGGGAAGUUGACCAACAUGACAUGCCAUCAAAGAAUAAAGAAAAUCUAAAAUAAAUUUGUAAAAUACGAUCACUUAUGACAAGUCUAUAACUUGAACUCGGAUGAUUAGGUUCCACCACAAAAAAUUCUUACCAUUUAAGUUAAACUCAGUCGCUUUGUUUGCAUAUAAUUGAGAUGUACAAAAGCAAUUUUUUGAUAUAAAUUAUUUCGUCCAACCGAUGGGAAACGCGUGAACUUUCUUAUGCACGAGUAUCUUGGAAACUAUUGUAAUAGGGGCCGACCCUAUGAUGGGCAACGUCUUCUAAUAUCAUAUAUAUGCAUGUUCCCUAAAUAUAUACGCAUGUGCGUUGCGCUGCAAGAUUUUCUGCCAACUUGUAUAAUCUAACUACUCCAAAAUGUAUUAACUAUUUUCUAAGAGCAUGCAAGAGGAUUGUGUGCCAUUGUAUUAAGUGGGAGAGAACGGUUUAGUUACAAGAAACACUCAACUAGCCACAAACGGUCAUCGUAGCCAUCUAAUAGCAUGCUAAGGAAUAACUCGCUAAAUAAUUUUGUGUACAAUACCUCACCAAUAGCACGUUAAUAGUAGAUUUUAAGGACGGCACUUUUUUGCCACAAUGCGUUUUUCUUUCCACCGAGCUUUACACACAACCAACACCCCGGACUACUCUCUACACAUCCUAUCCACACGCACAAGCUUCCAAAGCGCAAAUUCUGCUUACGUCUAACUCCAAAUGUACGUCCCUGCGGAGGCAUUGUUGUCAAGCACUGUCUUGUUACAUUCUAGCCAGAUGAUGAGCAAGUUAAUCUCAGUAAAUUGGUUUUCUGGGUUAGUUGCGAAGAUGGUGUGCCACCAAUCACAUAAUGUGACGAGGUGUAAGUGCAUCUAGUGCCAACCCUAGUUGGUUUUGGAGUAUUGACGACAAACCUAGUUGAGGGACUAAUGUAUUUGUGAGAAUUGCAGGAUAACACAGGUAGAAGUCCCUCAUCGAUUCGGUUUUCCUACCAGAGAUGACCCCUAAAAAUGUAUGAAGACAUUGAUGUCAAAGGUGGUAUAUGAAGAUAUUCACAUUAAAGACUAUGACAAGAGAAGACACCGCAUGAAGCCUAUGGAGCUCGAAGACUUAGAUCUUUCGUAGUUCUUUUUCUUCUGUGUUGAGUCAUAGAAACCACCGUACUGUUAAGUGGGGUCCAAGAGAACCAGUCAGAAUGACUGAAAUGAUGCUUAAACAAAACAUAUGCCUUCGAGUGAAGACUAUGAGAGCGAAUCUUGUCCAGAGUCGGACAAGUCAGCUUUGCUUAUAGCCCAAGUAAAGUUGCCGUGUGAGUUUGAAAUCUGACCGUUGGAACAUGUGUCAGUUCCUUAGUGACCCAGGGUCAUUUCAGACAAAUCAGGUCGGGUUGCCUAGUGGCUAUAAAUAGCCCACCCCCUACAACCAUAAACGGUUGGCUGCUCAGAUUCAGAGUACGGCUUUUGUCGUUUGAGAGCAACCCACCUCGAAGCCUUCGAGAGAGAAUUCCUUGCGAGGAUAAAGCCCUAACCAUCCAGAGCCAAAGAGAAUUAGGCAUCACUUAAGUCUUCUUGUCUGUGUGAUCUGAAGACUUAUUACACUUGAGGACUGUGCAUCCUCCAGCCGGUUAGGCGUCGCGUUCUGAGCAUCCAAGAGACAUUGUGGAUCGCCGGUGAACGAAGUUUGUGAAGGUUUUGGAGUCUACCUUGAAGACUUACCAGAGUGAUUGGGCGAGGUCUAUGUGACCUUAGCUCAAGGGGAAUACGGUGAGGACUGGGUGUCCUGAGCUGCGUGUUCAGGACUGGGUGUCCGGGACUGUGUGUCCUUAGGUUUAAAUACCUAGCCGCCCUAACCAGACAUAUAGUUGUCACAGCAACUGGAACUGAUGGAACAAAUCAUUGUCUUCAACGAGUCACUAGUUUCAUCCUUCCCUUCUCCUUACUUACUGUUACUCCUUGUGAAGUUAUUGUAUGUCUGCACUAUCUUUUGUCUUCACUGAGUGACUAUGUGAUCUGUUUGGCUUCUUAAUAUCUUCCUACCUGAUCCUUACUACCUAGCUGCUAUUAGUCAUUGUGCUUUCACUUCAUUGAAUACAUGACUAUGGUUUAUCUAGUGUAGUCUACCUUCCGCUGCAUGGUAAUAGGUUUAUUUCUAUCGUUUGUCUUCGAAACUUUCAUAUUUUGAAGACUUUCAUAAAAUCGCCUAUUCACCCCCCUCUAGUCGAUAUAACGCACUUUCAAUUGGUAUCAGAGCAAGGUGCUCCCUUGUUCUGUGUGGUUCGGUUUAACCAUCUGAAGUUUUAGCUAUGUCGACUGCAGGGAUAAUUAAAGUCUCCGCUGUGUGCCCCGUCUUCGAUGAAACUGAAUAUCCCUACUGGAAGAAUAAGAUGCGCAUGCAUCUUGAAGCCAUUGACGUCGACCUAUGGUAUGUCGUCAAGAACGGCGUUCCCAAGGCUGGAGAAGGUGUCACUGCUGCUGAUGUCAAGAAGUUCGUUCAACUGGACUCUACUGUCAAGAAUAUCAUCUGUGGUCAUCUGACCAAAGUACAGUAUGGCCGUGUGAGUGCUUUGAAAACAUCUAAGUUGGUCUGGGACUGGCUCUCCAAGGUCAACGAAGGCGUCUCAACCCAGAGAGAUCAGAGAAUCAGUGUCAUUCGCAACCUCUUCAACCGCUUCAAGCGAAAUGACAAUGAGAAUGUCCAGCUCACGUUUGACCGACUCACUGACAUCACAAAUGAGCUUCAAGCCCUCGGCACCACUGAGAUCACCAAGCAUGAAGUCAUCAAGACACUACUGAGAUCACUUAACAGUUCGUUUGACAGCCUAGCCCUGAUGAUUUAAGAACGACCUGAUUUCAAGACACUCGAUCCGUCCGACAUACUUGAGAGGCUCAACACACAUGAGUUUCAGCUUUCUGAGAAAAGAGAUAUCUACGGUCCAAACUAUGGGCGAACUCGUGCCUUGAAGGCAAAAGCUGUCUCCUCAUCUGAAGAAGAAUCUGAUAGCAGUUCUGAUGAUCCUGAAGACAUUGGAAAGGAACUUGCUAUGCUUGUGAAGAAGUUCCAAAAAUUCACCAAGAAGAAAGGCUUCAGAAAGUCUUCACGAUCAAGCUCAAGGAAUGAUGAAGCUUCUGCUCAUGACUACAAGAAGAAAACAUGCCACAAGUGCAAGAAAACUGGCCACUUCAUCUCUGAGUGUCCGCAGUGGGACAAUGAGAACAGAAAGAAGAAGAAGAGCAAGUAAUAUGACUCUGACGACAAGAAGAAGAAGAAAUACUCAAAGUCCUCUUCCAAGUCUUCCUCAAAGUCUUCAUCACACAAGAAGAGCUCAUCUGGCAAGGCACGUGUGUUUGUCGGCAAGGAAAUGGAUUCAGAGGAGGAGUCCGCUUCUGAGGAGGCGGAGGUGGAGUCUGAGGAGGAGUCCGAUUCUGGCGUUGCAAGUCUGGCUACAGCAUACGUUCCCAAGUCCAUCUUCAACACUAAAGACAAUGACUUCACCAUCGACACCGAUGCAAAUGACAAGGACUACUCUACUCCUACCUACUGCUUCAUGGCACGCGGUGCCAAGGUAAACACACGCACUACUCACUAUCAAACAUCUAGUGAUGAUGACUCUGAUUGUGAUUCAAGACCCAGCUACAAAACACUUGCUAAAAUUGCAACUGAACAACAGAAAGCCAUGGAACAUAUUCAAAAACUGUUAGACAAAAGCGAUGAUCUGUUGGGCGCUGAAAUGACUCGGUCUGAGUCCUUAAUUGAAGACAUAAAAAAUCUUCAUGUUAAGUAUGAGGAACUUGAAAGUCGUCAUGAAACGCUCUCAACAACUCAUGAAAAGCUUUCCUAUGAUUAUCUUCAAAGGAAGCAAGAUCUUGAGAAAUUGAGAGCGGCUCAUGAAGAUCUUCAAAAGGAAAACGAGUCACUUCGCGCCGAACAGAUCAGUUCCGCUCAGGAAGGAUUUGAACCACCAUGUCCUAAAUGCAUUGAGCGUGAUAAUGCUACUUCUGUUGCUGAAUGUUCUACUGUUGCUACUGUUGCAAUUUCUUCAACUGUUGAUGUGGUAACUAACCCCUCUGCUGAGGAUACCACUGCUAUUGCUGAUGAGAAUGCUAGGUUGAAGACAUUGCUUGAAACAGGGAUGUACAAAAUUCUUAAAGGGCGUCAGACACUAUGUGAUGUCCUCAAAAGGCAGAUUCUGAACCGAAACCCGAGGAAAGAGGGUGUUGGGUUCAUAAGGAAAAUGAAUGUUGAUGGCUCUUACUGGAAACCCGAGCAGUAUCCCAAAACCACAUGGGUUGCUGCAAAGGAACCUUCAGCUGAUCCAUCCAAUCUAUCUGGCUUCACUUGUGCUAACCCCAUUGUCAUCGAUGAAUCCUUUGAUGCAAACUAUAAACUGUUUAAGAAUCAGAAUGGUGAAGUGUUUGCCAGGUACAUUGGUACUAACUGCAGGAAUGGACCGCCUAUGAAGAAGAUCUGGGUGCCCAAAAGGUGUUUGGAAAAUCUUCCUGUGAAUGUCAUCAUGACACCACAGAUGAAGAAGACAAACCCCAGACCACAGGCUUCAUACGGCCCAAAGGCUUCAUACAGACAGAGGACUCACCUGAGUCGCACUAACGCAAAUGUUUUGCAGGGAAACCAUACUCAGGCCUAUGAAUAUGAGCGCGGUUCAUCGAACCGCCAUGUUCAUAAGACCAAAACCUAUUCUGCUUAUUCUUAUGAGUAUUAUUGUCCGCCUGCAAGACUUUUUGCUAGGGCUCCAAAGCCAAAGUUUUCAGACGCUGCACUUAGACUUAUCGCUUCUAAGCCACCCUUGAAGAUGUGGGUGGUUAAGAAGGCUUAACUCUCUUUUGCAGGGAAAGGUCUCCAGCAGAAAACCAAAAUCUUCUGACGCUAUUGCUGGGGACCUUAAACAUCUUGUAGGCUGCAAGAUCAAAUGCCCGAAUGGUCUUACUAUGUACUUCGUUCCUGAAUUGCUUGCUACUCUCCCUAUCAGUCCUAAUCUGGAUCUAAGCUUUCAUAACCCACUGGUUCGUCAAAUGUUUUUGCUUCACAAUUCUCUUCGUGAAGCCUAUCCCCCUAACUGCACUAUAGGGUACGACACCAGCGUCUACAGAAUGGAUUAUUGAUAGUGGGUGUACAAAUCACAUGACUGGCAAAAGAAGCCUUCUUAUGGACUCAACCUUACGUCCAUCCGACAAGAGCCACAUCACAUUUGCUGACACUGGUAAAAGUAAGGUAUUGGGUCUAGGUAGAGUUGCAAUCUCAAAGGAUCAACACAUGGAUAAAGUCAUGCUUGUUGAAUCCCUUGGCUUCAACUUAAUGUCUGUCUCAAUGCUUUACGAUUUGAACAUGAUCGUAAUAUUUGGAAAAUAUCGUUGCCUUGUUCUAAUGGAAUCUGAAAAGUCUCUAGUAUUUGAAGGGUAUCGAAAAGAUGAUUUGUACGUGGUAGAUUUCUCAGCAGGACCACAGCUUGCCGUAUGUCUUCUAGCAAAAGCUUCAGAAUGCUGGCUCUGGCAUCGGAGGCUUGGGCAUGCUGGCAUGAGGAACCUCCACACCCUUGCAAAGAAGAAGCAUGUCAUAGGCAUCGAGGGCGUCAAGUUCAAGAAAGAUCACUUAUGCGGUGCCUGUGAAGCAGGAAAGAUGACGAGGGACAAACAUCCCUCGAAGACAAUCAUGACUACUACUCGACCCUUCGAACUGCUUCACAUGGAUCUUUUCGGUCCCACUCAUUACUCAACUCUUACUACUACUGCUUGUCUCUAUGGCUUUGUCAUUGUUGAUGAUUAUUCUAGAUAUACUUGGGUGCACAUAAUCCUUUACAAGACUGAAGUGCAGGAUGUCUUCAGACGCUUCGCCAAUUGAGCAAUGAACAACUAUGGCGCCAAGAUAAAGCACAUCAGAAGUGACAAUGGCACUGAAUUCAAGAACACUGGCCUUGAUACAUAUCUUGAUACCUUGGGCAUCACACAUGAAUUCUCAGCCCCGUACACGCCACAACAGAAUGGCGUCGUCAAAUGCAAGAACAGAACACUCAUUGAGAUGGCCAGAACGAUGCUAGAUGAAUACAAGACUCCAAGAAAAUUCUGGCCUGAAGCCAUUGAUACUGCAUGCCAUACAAUCAAUCGUGUUUAUCUUCACAAGCUUCUGAACAAGACAUCUUAUGAGCUUCUUACUAGCAAGAAGCCAAAUGUCAGUUACUUCAGAGUAUUUGGCGCCAGGUGCUGGAUCAAGGACCCACAUCACACUUCAAAGUUUGCACCAAAAGCACAUGAGGGUUUUAUGCUUGGAUAUGGAAAGGAUUCGCACUCCUACAGAGUCUUCAAUCUCUUUCAUUAUAAAGUGGUUGAAACAGUGGAUGUGCGGUUCGAUGAGACUAACGGUUCAUAAAGAGAGCACCUGCCAAAUGUGCUAGAUGAAGUUCCAUCCAGUGAAUCAAUCAAGCUAAUGGGAACUGGAGAAAUCAUACCUUCUGAAGCUCAUCCUGAAGAGGAACUUAUCAUCUCCGCACCAGACUGUAAGUGCAUCUAGUGCCACCCCUAGUUGGUUUUGGAGUAUUGACGACAAACCUAGUUGAGGGACUAAUGUGUUUGUGAGAAUUGCAGGAUAACACGGGUAGAAGUCCCUCAUUGAUUUAGUUUUACUACCAGAGACGACCCUUAAAAAUGUAUGAAGACAUUGAAGCCAAAGGUGAUAUAUGAAGAUGUUCACAUUGAAGACUAUGACAAAAGAAGACACGUUAUGAAGUGUAUGGAGCUCGAAGACUUAGAUCUUUCGUAGUUCUUUUUUCCUUUGUGUUGAGUCAUAGGAACCACCGUACUGUUAAGUGGGGUCCAGGAGAACCAGUCAGAAUGACUGAAGUGAUGCCUAAACCAAAAACCUAUGUCUUUGAGUGAAGACAGUGAGAGCGAAUCUUGUCCAGAGCCGGACAAGUCAGCUUUGCUUGUAGCCCAAGUAAAGUUGCCAUGAGAGUUUGAAAUCUGACCGUUGAGACACGUGUCAGUUCCUUAGUGACCCAGGGUCAUUUCGGACAAAUCAGGUCGGGUUGCCAAGUGGCUAUAAAUAUCCCACCCCCUACAACCAUAAACGGUUGGCUGCUCAGAUUUCAGUGCACGGCUUUUGUCGUUUGAGAGCAACCCACCUCGAAGCCUUUGAGAGAAAAUUCCUAGCGAGGAGAAAAGCCCUAACCAACCAGAGCCAGAGAACAUUGGGCAUCACUUAAGUCUUCUUGUCUGUGUGAUCUGAAGACUUAUUACACUUGAGGACUGUGAAUCCUCCAGACGGUUAGGCGUCGCGUUCAGAGCAUCCAAGAGACAUUGUGGAUUGCCAGUGAACGAAGUCUGUGAAGGUUUGGGAGUCUACCUUGAAGACUUACCAGAGUGAUUGGGCGAGGACUAUGUGACCUUAGCUCAAGGAGAAUACGGUGAGGACUUGGUGUCCUGAGCUGCGUGUUCAGGACUGGGUGUCCGGGACUGUGUGUCCUAAGGUUUAAAUACCUAGCCGCUCCAACCAGACAUACAAUUGUCACAACAACUGGAACUGGUCCAACACAUCAUUGUCUUCAACGAGUCACUGGUUUCAUCUUCACUUCCUUUUUCUUACUGUUACUCAUUGUGAAGCCAUUGCAUGCUUGCUCUAUCUUUUGUCUUCAUAACGUGAAUGUAUGAUCUGUUUGGCUUCAUAACUUCUUCCCACCUGAUCCUUAUUACACUACAGCUGUUUGUCAUUGCGCUUUCACUUUAUUGAAUACUUGACCAUGGCUGGCCUAGUGUAAUCUAACUUCCGCUGCAUAGUAAUAGGCAUAAUCUUCGCUGUUUGUCUUCAUAACUCCCACGUUUUGAAGACUUUCAUAAAAAUCGCCUAUUCACCCCCCUCUAGUCGAUAUAACGCACUUUCACAGACCAACCUGAAGACAAUGCUCAACCUAAAGACAAUCCCUCUAACAACGACAAUGAUCAGCAAGAGCAAAAUCUUCGCCCUGUACAUCCUCGUGUUGCCAAUGAAGUGCAGAUUGAGAGAAUAAUUGACAGCAUCAAUGCACCUGGUUCGCUCACUCGAUCAAGGGCAACUCAUCUAGCAAAUUUCUGUGGGCACUUCGCAUUCGUCUCAAUAACAGAACCCAAGAAAGUUGAAGAAGCCUUCAUGGAACCUGAAUGGAUUCAAGCUAUGCAAGAAGAGCUUCAACAGUUUGAGCUGAAUAAUGUAUGGGAACUGGUUAAGCGUCCUGAUCCUCGGAAGCACAACAUAAUAGGCACAAAAUGGAUAUACCACAACAAGCAAGAUGAGCAUGGUCAAGUUGUCAGAAACAAAGCUCGUCUCGUUGCUCAAGGAUAUACUCAAGUGGAAGGCAUUGACUUCGAUGAAACAUUUGCUCCUGUGGCUAGACUUGAAGCCAUACGCAUACUGCUGGCCUAUGCCAAUCAUCACAACAUACUUCUAUAUCAAAUGGAUGUAAAGAGCGCCUUUCUCAAUGGCAAGAUUGAAGAAGUGUAUGUUGCACAACCGCCUGGCUUUGAAGAUCCAAAACAUCCUGACAUGGUAUACAAGCUCAACAAGGCACUGUAUGGCCUCAAACAAGCCCCUCGGGCCUGGUAUGACACACUCAAAUACUUCCUGAAGAGCAAAGGCUUCAUACCUGGUUCCCUCGACCCCACUCUCUUCACGAAGACAUAUGAUGGUGAACUGUUUGUGUGCCAAAUAUAUGUGGAUGCCAUUAUCUUCGGCUGCACCAAUCAGAAGUACACUGAAGAGUUUGGAUAUAUGACGCAAGAGCAAUAUCAGAUGUCCAUGAUGGGAGAGCUGAAGUUCUUUCUCGGUCUUCAAAUACGACAGCAACGCAAUGGCAUCUUCAUAUCUCAAGAGAAGUACCUCAAAGAUUGUCUGAAGAAGUUCGGUAUGCAAAACUGCAAAGGCUUCACGACGCCAAUGCCAGCCAAGCAUCAUCUGGGUCCUGACGACAAUGGUAAAGAGUUCGAUCAAAAGGUAUACCGCUCCAUGAUUGGUUCUUUGCUUUAUCUAUGUGCAUCUAGGCCAGAUAUUAUACUUAGUGUUUGCAUGUGUGCUCGAUUUCAAGCGGCACCAAAGGAGUCGCAUCACUUAGCUGUGAAGCGAAUUCUUCGAUAUUUGGCUCACACCCCAACUCUAGGAUUAUGGUAUCCAAAGGGCUCAGAGUUUGAUCUGGUUGGAUUCUCGGAUGCUGAUUAUGCUGGUGACAAGGUGGAUCGCAAGUCUACAUCAGGCACAUGUCAUUUUCUGGGACGAUCACUUGUAUGUUGGUCUUCAAAGAAGCAGAACUGUGUAUCUCUCUCCACUGCUAAAUCUGAAUACAUUGCUGCUGGAUCUUGCCGCGCUCAGCUUCUGUGGAUGAAGCAAACCCUCAAGGACUAUGGCAUUCAUCUGAAGCAAGUGCCACUCUACUGCGACAACGAAAGCACCAUCAAGAUUGCCAACAACCCAGUUCAGCACUCGAAGACAAAGCACAUUGAAAUUCGUCAUCACUUUAUCAGAGAUCAUGUUGUGCAGGAAGAUAUUGAUAUCAUACAUGUCAACACUGAAGAGCAAUUGGCAGAUAUCUUCACCAAGCCCUUGGAUGAGAAGAGAUUUUGCAAGUUACGGUGUGAGCUAAAUAUCCUGGAAUCCUCAAAUGUCCUGUGAUCAGGCACACAUCCUAACACUUAUGCAUAUUGAUGACUUAGAUGUGCAACACACGAAGUAAAGUAUAUCUUCAAUCAAUGAAGACAUACAUUCUAAGUGUGAAUGCAUUAAUGUGGAAUUUGACUUCGGAGUGCCACGAUAAUUGUGCGUCGUGUCUGGGUCUACUACUUCCUAUACGGUGGGUAACGCCACCACCAAACGUUCUGUUUGAAGCGUGUUACUCAUGGCGUUACAUUUGCUAUGUCUUCACAUUUGAUUUGGCUUCAAUCUCAACAUGUCUUCAUGAUUAUCUUCACUAUGUUGAUUAUAUAUAUAUAUAUACUAGUGUUCUGUCCUCUACAGCAUUCACUUAUAGCUAUGUCUUCUUGUUGAAUCUUUUGAACUAAGUGAAUGUGAUCGGACCCUAACCUCUCUAUGCUUUCUAUCUCAAACUCUAUCUCUCCAAAUCAUAUGCAUUCUAUUGAAACUGUCGGAUGUCUUCUCUGCGUCCUUGUCAGUAGAAGAUACAGAGACAAACAUUAAGUCCGUUUUCAAUGCUCAUUCCUUCACAUGAAACCCGGAGAAGUGGGAACGACCACCCGACAAUCCAGGCAUGCGUGGGACGUGGAACAAACCCUAAUAUGCUGCAUGAUGGCCACAUGUUCCUCAGAUGCGAAUCGCCAGGGGCACCUGUGUAAUAACGCAGUGCCGCCCCUGUACCUAUAAAUACACACUUCACAGCGGUCAUUAUCUCUUCUUCCACUCUCGCACGAACCCUAGCGCCACCGCUAGCCCUCGACGACGCCGGCGACGAAGCGCUUCGCUACCGCAACCUCUCCGACGCCGUCUUCACGCCGACCGCGAACAUCAUCCUCUCCGCCGUCGCCGUAGGUGUCCUCCGUCGCCAAGUUAGGGCAUGGAAGAUCGAACUGACUCGGCCUCCUCUUCCACUCCGUCUAGCAGUUCCUAGUGUGGUAAAUAAAACUUCCUUUUUACGACCCCUUUGAUCCUAUGGCUUUGUCACUUUCUACCACAAGUAGUUUCUAUUCACACAAGUUGGAUCUCUUUCAUACUGCAUCUCAUAACAUGCCUAGUAUAUUCACUUAUGCGUCACAAAGUAGUUAGAUUCCUCACUUGUACUGAUCUCUGGAUUCGUACAAAUCUGGAGCCAACUCCUUAUCUAUAAGUGAAUGUCUUCGCACGAUGAGGUCAAUGUCUUCUAAACUGAUUUAUCUUCAAAAUCUUCUGAGAAUGCAUAUGACCUCUUCCCCUUCCCUCGCACCUUAAUGCUGUCACAGGUACAUGUCUGUGGGAGAAUCCCUUGGUUCUCAUAGUCUGCAUUCAUUUGCAGAAUUCUUACAGCAUCAUAUAAAUUCUCCCGAAGCCAGUUCCUGUUUGUCCAGCAAGCGAAAGCCUUUAAACGUAUUGAAGCCUUUCAGUAUAAAGUUCAUGGCUUCAGAGAAAUCAGCAAGGAAGGGUGGCAGAAAGCGUCGUGGAGAAACAUCCAGAGAUCUGUCGGAUCACCUCUCAGAACUGUACAAAAUAGAUCUUGAAGAGGAUUACAAUCAGCGCAAAACACGAAUCCAAUGGAUUCGACGCUAUUGGGAAGAACGGUGGUUCAAGUACAGAUUUGUGACAAAGGAAUAUGCUGAAAAGAAUGCCAUCAAGCGACCAUGGGGAGACAUCCUCUACAAAAAUCUUCAACCCAGGACCAGAGAUGAAGCCAUUGAACAAGGCUUCUAUCCCUGCAUGGUCCGUGGACCACAGCCUGCGGAUGCUGACCCCUCAUCACUGCUAUGGUGUCGUGACGACAUUCUGUUCAAGCGCAACUUUCAGUUUGCCCAGAACUCAGCGAAGCAGAACAAGAAGACAUUGGGACUAGACUUCAACCCUGGUCCUUCUGCUCCAAGGGCUGAUGGCACACGGGAUGCAGAACCCAAUGUCGUCGGUCCUUUCUACAACCUUGAAGGUCUCAUCACCCAUAUCUUGGUUUAAGGGACAGCCGUGAAUGAGCCUGCAGCUGACGCUGAAUCAGAUGAAGCGCCUGCAGCGCCGAAGCCAAAGAAGUUGAAGAAGCCUAAAGCUUCAAAGCCUGCCCCUUCACCAAAAAUCUCACGGGCGAAGCCACUGGCAACUGCACCUCCUGAAGACAGUGUGCAGUCUGAAGAUUUGUCACGCAUCUCCAAGCCCCAGAAGGUCAAGAUGCCUCUGCCACACACCGGCCAAGAGCUAACUGCUGCUGCCAUUCUGCGCAAUGAUGCCAUUGAUCUAUCAAGUGAUGAAGAUCUUGUAGAUGACGCUCUUGAGCAACUCAUCAAGAGCAAAGAAGAAGCAGAAAUCUUCAAUGAUCUACCGCUCUUUGAUGUAACAAUCAUCCACAACUUCAUUGAUGAGUGGUUUGACACGCCAAACAUCAGCUUCGAAGAUCUCCAACUACCCAUUGACCUUAGUGUCGCCUUCCAUGGCGCCAUUGCUUCAGAGUUAGCCAUCGCCCAGCGCAUUGUUGAACUGAAGCAGAAGAUUGACUUUGAGAAAUCUCAGUCCAAGAAGCAUAUGGCCAAGCUCGGCGUGAAAGACGUGAAGAACUUCAAGAUUAUACUGCACGAGCUCAAGGAAGCCUUUCUAAAAAACGUGCAGAAGCUCAGGGUUCUCGUGAGCGCAUGAAGGUCCUGGCUGAUAGGUGUGUGCAAGCCUACAAUGAGGCUGAGAAGCGCAAGGCCCUAGGGCGUCUUGGCAUCGACCCCAGGAUGGCUGCCAAGAAGAAGAAGAAGCCCUCUAUGGCUGAACCCGGAGCACCAAGGCAGGAAGCAGAUCCCCUUGUCUUCCCAACUAGCAUGACUGGCCCGAAGCCAAAGGCCAGGUCAACCGCUUCAGAACUGAAGAAGACCAAGACUGCUGAGGCUGGAGCAAGGAAGAGGAAACAUCCUGAAGCCUCUGCUACUGCCCCCUCCAAGAAGAAAAGAAAGACCAAGAAGGAACGGGCUGCUCCCACAGAGCCCUUGAUUGUUGAACCCAUUUCCAUGGUUCACCCUGACGCUGAUCCACAAAAACGUCAACUGACUAUCCAUGAGCCUGCUUUCACAGAGGCUCAUGAAGCUGAAGACUUUCCAGCAGCUGAUCCCAUCGCUGCUGAAGACAUUGGUCCCCAUGACCAUGUUGAAGAUGAUGCAGUCCUUCCUCAGCUAGAGCACCAAUAGGUAUCAUCGCCUGUGCUAACACACAACGAACUCAUCAGCAUUGGUCGUCCACUGACGCCAAUUGCACAGGAUGCUUCAUGGGCUGAUCGCCCACAAGAGGAAGAAGACUUUGAGGCCCAGCCAACACCAACUCCACAGGCGUCGCCCGCGCUGCGCAGGCUUCACAAAGGGCCAAGGCCUCAAGUCUCUGCGUCUGAAGCUAAACCUGCUGAAGAUAUUCCAGAUGCAUCAGCCGAUGAAGAAGAAGUCCCACAAGUUGCUACUCCCCUGUCCCACCAAGAAGCGGUUCUCGAGGAGAACGUGAUUGUGACCGACCCUCCAGCUCCUCAAGUGGAGGCUGAAAAUCUUGAGGCUGCCACCACCAAUACCAUUGAAGCCACUGACGCUGUCAUGGCUGAAGCUAAUGUAGAGCCCUCACCACCAAAAGCACCAGAAGUUAGCGAAGCCACUGAUCCCACUGCUUUUGUUCCUGCGUCUGCUGCCGGUCCCCAGUUCGACUAUCAUGUUGAGCACAGGCCUCAGGUACAGAAGCCAAUCCCAAGAUUGCCCAGGUUCCCAGGUCCUGCAUCAGCACCUGGCUCCUUUAAUAUCAAUGGCUUCAGAGCAGACAACACAUUCUUCAAUAGCUCCAGGAACCCCUACUCAAGGGAAAGAAUAUCAUUUGAUCGGUUCUGGAGCUAUCCGCAGCGAAGCUAUUACUCAUGUGUUCUUUACAACCAAGGUCGCAUCUUCCCACACAAGCGCCUUGACAUUGAAGCAAUAGCUGGUCUGCCCUGUCUGGAAGAAGCUCUGGAUUGCUUCAAAGAGGUUGGACUGCUGCCGUUCGUCACUGACCAAGAGCAUUGGAAUGAAGAGUUGCUGCUCCAAUUCUAUGCCACACUUCACAUCCGCGGGUAUAACAGAGAUCCGAAGACUUGGGUCCUGGAGUGGAUGACAGGAAACGUUCAUCACGAAGCCAAAGCCUUUGACAUCAUUGAGCUCACUAGUUUGCCCACUCCUGGUGAUCUCUACGAGCAUGGCUGUCAGCUUCAUAGUGAAGCUGUUGAGAGCAUCUUUCAGAAGACUGAACCUAAUAUGAGUCAGAUGCUCAGUAUGAUGAAGCCAUUGCCCCAAGAUGCUGCUUAUCCCACGGAGUUCUUUGUUGAAGACCUUGAGUAUCUGCCAAGGACCAUUUAUCACAUCAUAAGGCGAACUCUCUGGCCAAUCAAAGGACAUUCUCCCCAUGCCAAGCUGGAAGGUGCAAUGAAGACUUUGGUCUUCUAUAUUCUUCAUGGAAAAUGCUUCAAUACACAGGAUUUCUUCAUUCGCCAACUUGCUGCAUCAGGCUAUGAUCUGUUUGGCUUGAAGUUCUACGCCCCUUGGGUGAUGCAGCUGAUCAAACUUCACUCCUCUAUCUCAUAUCAGCCAUCUGCCCGCAAUCAUUGGAUCUUUUUGCCUGAUGUGGAUAUGUCUAUUGAAGCCAUAUAUCCUGAGCCUGCCAAGGAACCUCUAAGUCUUCAGAAUGCAGAGCAUCAAAGUUUUUCUCAGAACGUUGAAGGCGUUGAAGCAGUAACUCGUGUGUAUCGUUUGGCUGGCACUACACGUGCACCGCAUCCUGCUCUCACUGAAGCCACUGAUAGCACCAUUGCCCAACGACCCAAGAAGUGCACUCGUGUUCUCAAUGAUUGAGAUCUUCUGGUGGCUCUUCAUCAGAAACAGGAUAGGCAUCAUGACUGGCCGAAGCGUCAAAUGCAAAGUCUCUUGGUGGAUGUUAAUCGCAUUCGCAAUCUUCUUCACUGAGCGAUUCAAGUUUGACUCCACACCUCCUCGAAGGGCAGUGCUGCGACGAACUCCAUCACUUGAAGACUCUGAGUUCUCUUCCUCUGCUGCAACUGUGAAUGCCAGAGUGAUCGAGGAUGAAGACGAUGCUACUUCACCGCCACUUCCUUCAGCACGCGUCGACACUGCUCCAAGUUCUUCUGCACCGCCAAACACCACUGACGACCCUGCUGCUUCACCUACUCUUCAUGGGAAUGAGUAGAUGCUCUAUGUCUUUCAACCUUUUUGGUCCUUACUGACAAAAGGGGGAGAAGCAUAUGAGUUUGAUAGUCUUCAAGCGGGUCCAUAUAGGCGGGUUGCUUUAUAUUUUGCUUCGUGCUUACAACUCUCAUUUUGAUACAUUUGGUUCUUUGAGUUGUAACACUUAAACUUGAUGGUCGUCUGCUACUUAUUUGCCACCUUGCGUUGCGAUGAUAAAUUCCGCAUGGGCGACGAUAAAUUCCGCACUUAGAUCAUUGUGCAGACGUCCAUUUUCCAUUAUGCAUGUCAUUAUCUUCACAUACUUUCACAUGCAUAGUGGAUUGUCAUCAUAAGUUGAAGUGGAUCUCCACAAGCACAACUUGCCAUGUGCAUUUGCAUUCCAAAACCAAAUUACUUAUAUGCACAUCUUCAGGGGGAGCCCUUGCAACUUAUGAAGGCAAUUCCUUAUCCUUUACAAUUUCACAUAUUAUAUUCCCCGUUGAAAACUUCAACUAGUUUGUCAUCAAUCACCAAAAAGGGGGAGAUUUUAAGUGCAUCUAGUGCCACCCCUAGUUGGUUUUGGAGUAUUGACGACAAACCUAGUUGAGGGACUAAUGUGUUUGUGAGAAUUGUAGGAUAACACAGGUAGAAGUCCCUCAUUGAUUCGGUUUUCCUACCAGAGAUGACCCCUAAAAAUGUAUGAAGAUAUUGAUGUCAAAGGUGGUAUAUGAAGAUAUUCACAUUGAAGACUAUGACAAGAGAAGACACCGCAUGAAGCCUAUGGAGUUCGAAGACUUAGAUCUUUUGUAGUUCUUUUUCUUCUGUGUUGAGUCAUAGGAACCACCGUACUGUUAAGUGGGGUCCAAGAGAACCAGUCAGAAUGACUGAAGUGAUGCUUAAACAAAACCUAUGUCUUUGAGUGAAGACUAUGAGAGCGAAUCUUGUCCAGAGUCGGACAAGUCAGCUUUGCUUGUAGCCCAAGUAAAGUUGCCGUGUGAGUUUGAAAUCUGACCGUUGGAACACGUGUCAGUUCCUUAGUGACCCAGGGUCAUUUCGGACAAAUCAGGUCGGGUUGCCUAGUGGCUAUAAAUAGCCCACCCCCUACAACCAUAAACGGUUGGUUGCUCAGAUUCAGAGUACGGCUUUUGUCGUUUGAGAGCAACCCACCUCGAAGCCUUUGAGAGAGAAUUCCUUGCGAGGAUAAAGCCCUAACCACCCAGAGCCAAAGAGAAUUAGGCAUCACUUAAGUCUUCUUGUCUGUGUGAUCUGAAGACUUAUUACACUUGAGGACUAUGCAUCCUCCAGCCGGUUAGGCGUCGCGUUCUGAGCAUCCAAGAGACAUUGUGGAUCGCCGGUGAACGAAGUCUGUGAAGGUUUGGGAGUCUACCUUGAAGACUUACCAGAGUGAUUGGGCGAGGUCUGUGUGACCUUAGCUCAAGGGGAAUACGGUGAGGACUGGGUGUCCUGAGCUGCGUGUUCAGGACUGGGUGUCCGGGACUGUGUGUCCUUAGGUUUAAAUACCUAGCCACCCUAACCAGACGUACAGUUGUCACAGCAACUGGAACUAGUCCAACAAAUCAUUGUCUUCAACGAGUCACUGGUUUCAUCCUUCCCUUCUCCUUACUUACUGUUACUCCUUGUGAAGUCAUUGUAUGUAUGCACUAUCUUUUGUCUUCACUGAGUGACUGUGUGAUCUGUUUGGCUUCUUAAUAUCUUCCUACCUGAUCCUUACUACCUAGCUGCUAUUAGUCAUUGUGCUUUCACUUCAUUGAAUACAUGACUAUGGUUUAUCUAGUGUAGUCUACCUUCCGCUGCAUGGUAAUAGGUUUAUUUCUAUCGUUUGUGUUCGAAACUUCCAUGUUUUGAAGACUUUCAUAAAAAUCGCCUAUUCACCCCCUCUAGUCGAUAUAACGCACUUUCACGAGGACAUUUGCAUGAAGCAAUGGAGCCAAUAAAGGAGCAAAACAAAUAACCAAACAUCCCUUAAGAACGGGCACCAGAGAAGCAUGUGCCGAGAUUCUCCGAGCUUGGUCCCAUGGCUUGCGACAACUAGGGUGUGGAAGCGAGAUAUGUGCAUGAUUGCGUAAGCAAUCAAAGAGAAAUUUCAAAGAAUGAAAAGGCAAAAAGGAGGCGAAGAUGUCUCACAUAGGGGGAGGGGUCCUCUCAUCCAUGAUCCCCAUGGGGGAAACUCUAGGUUCUCAUCAUCGGCUAAACUCGAAAGCUACAUAGCUCUUCUAAUCGCCACCAUUGAUACCAUCAUUACAAUCGAGGGCCUACAAUCCAUGGAAAUCCCUAUUCCGAUCUUCUUUGUUCGGCUUUCACAAGCAAGAUACCUUGAAGCAGGUGACAGUCUAUAGCCCAAAAACUACCCAUGGGAUUUCUUUGUCUUUUCCUUAUCUUUUGUCCGGUGAAGAAUCUCCUGCUGCAGAGAUAAGAUGAAUGGCUUCGAGAUACCAUCACUCGCCCUGACCCGAGUCCCCUAGCCUCUCAGCUUCAGCAGUUGUUGUAAGGAGAAGUAGCAGGAUUGUUAGUUUAUGUGCCGAGCAGGCAAAGGCAGAAGUGGAAGGGUCAAACUCCUCUAUCGGGGAAAGACAGGAAGGAUAAAAGUGUAAAAUCACUACUUCCACUGAUUUCUUGCGGGAAGGUUCUAUAAGGGAAGAAGAAUCAGAGCUGAUGAGAAGAGGGCUGAGUCGUCUAGCUUUUAUUCCAAAAUCACGUAUCACCGAUCAGCCUAUUCGAGAGGAGCUGCUUGCCUUGCCCACUUCAAUAAGGAAGACUCCAUCAAUAAAGAAGAGCUUCUUGUUUCCAAGCGGAACUCGAAUGGGCUGCUAGCAGAUUUGUUGGGGAUGGCAAGUUAACACCGUGGCUUCUUCGCGCAAGCACUUGGUUCGCCCCUUACUAUAACCGCCACAAGUCUAGUAUAGAAUCUGCUCUUUAAGGUCGAGAAUCUGCUCUAGAAGGUCGAUGCUUAAAAAAGAGGUGACCCGAAUGAUUUCAAUGAAUUGCUAUUUGGUCAGAUUGGAACAAUUGGAUUCGAAAGUCUCAGCGGCAAGGAAGAGAAAAUGCAUCGAGUCGUUUAUCAAGAAAGUGGACGAGCAUGGUUGAAGCAGUGGAGUGAAGAGGAGGGUUGGGUCCCGCCUCACAACGAGCCCGGGUAGCUAGACCAUUUUAUUAGAUUUUGCCUCUGCUGAUCCUGCUCAUGCUUUUUUUUCUCAAUUGGUAAAGUCUCUCAGCCUUGCGAAGUGGAAAAAGAGAUGGGCAGCUGCUUUGUGAAUUUGAUACUAGGUAGUUCUCCCCCCUCGGCAGGCAAGUAGCCCUAGCCUUUUAUGAGAGUCAAUUGGGAAGUGGAAAGGCAAGAGGCCUUCUAUAUGUUAAGGGAGAGAGGGGAGAGUCAUUCCAGAGUUGGGUGGGAAUCGUUGAUAGAAAUUUGGAUUUUCCCUGAGAUUACGAAAAAUUGGAUCGGAUUUUGCAGUUCUUUUUUCUGCAGUACCUCGACGUGACAUGAGCGUGAAAGAGGUUCAAGAAUCCGUUUUCUAAAUAUAUAAAAGAGGGGGAAUGGAUUCUACAAGAAAAGGCGGGCAAAGGUAGUUCAGGGAUUGCAAUUUUUCUCGCAUUUUAGUUUUUUCACUCAAACUCAAGGGAGAAACUUUGCUUCUUAUCUUUUUUUUUAAAGAUUGACGAAUAAAAUGAUAUUUCUGUCCACAUGCAUGAGUAGGCCUGUUGCUGGGAUGUCCCAUUAAAAAGGCAGGUCCCAUAUUUGAAAUACAAAAAUAAGAUCAGUGCUAUCAAUAAAUAACUAGCUGACAAUAUGCUAUGCUUACUCUCCGAGCACUAAAGCUAUCGAGAAGUAUCUCCAGGUAACUCCAUCUUUUUCAGCUCUGCUCGCUCACUUUUGAAAGGAAGACUUAGUUUUAGAUCGGCGUUGGUUUUUCCAGAAUCAGUCCGUCCGGUUAAGCAUUGGGGAGCUGAUAGGUCGAACGGAGUGGUGCCAGAGCUCUAAAGUGGCUCUAAAUAUCCAUUUCUUUGAUUUUCCUGUGUGCUUUUUAGGCGGCAUCAUCUAAGUUCGAGAACUUUGGAUACUUAAAGGCUGCAGCACAUGCUAAGUGUUGACUGAGAUUCUUUUUUUCCGACAGGGAAGCCAUGCUCCAUCCUGUUUCUAAAAAGAACAUCACCUCCCUUUUUGGUUAGAUACCGCUCCGUUAGGUACUAAUGCUUCUACCUAUCACCCGGAGGGUGAGUUUGAGAGCUGUGUUUUUUUCCAACGUUAAUAGCAUUCCGCGAGAAAAGUCAUCUACUGAUGUUGUCAGCGGAGUCCCUCGUCCAUCCAUGUAUGAAUAGCGAAUCCCGAAGGGGAGGCUCUAGUUGCCAAGUAAGAAAAGAUCUCGGUAGUUCAAUUCAUGCAUGUGAAAGCUUAUCUGCCAGAUACAGAUGAUACUUGCCACUACUUGACCGAAACUGGGACUUGUUGUGAUAAUAGGCCGGCCAGUCCGGAACGUAGAGCAGAUCUAUCAGAGAACAGGGAGCAGGAAAUUCUUGCUCGUGCCGGCCUGUAUUCGGAGUUUCUUGGAUUUGCGGUGCCUGAAUGCCUUUCUCCUUCUUUUUGGUGACGUCGGAUGCCCGCCUUUGGUGCUCAGAAGUGGAUUCUCCUUCAAAGAGGGCCGGAAUUCGACCCGCUAUUAAUGUGGGUAUUUUAGUUUCCAGAGUAGGAUCCGUGGCUCAAAUUAAAGCCAUGAAACAAGUAGCUGGCAAAUCCAAAUUGGAACUAGCUCAAUUCGCAGAGUGACAAGCCUAUUAUUCGCCUCUGCUCUCGAUAAAACAAGUAUGCUUUAGCGAGUGAACUAGGUUUUUAUUUGAGAGCGAACUAGGUUUUUAGUGGUAUUCCUUCUCAGUCAUCCUUGUUUUGGUACCGGAUUCAACUUGUCGAGGCUUCUGCUCGUAACGUCACUCACUGGAUCAAAUCAAAGGGCUCGGUUUCUGCUCCUCGGCAAAGGCAAAGUCAAUUCAAUAGGAAUCCGAAUUUGGGCGACGGAAUGUGUUUUACAAUAAGUUCCAACGUUUGAGUAAUUGAACUUGCUUCUUCACUUAAUGCUUGCUUUCCGUCUUGCCUUUGCCGGAGGGAUCUCUCUAUGAAUGGAAAAGGGGUGCUUCGGAUCGGGAGUAACCACUUUAGAAAGGGCAAAGGGGGGAAGGACAUAGGAAAGAGGGAUGCCUAGUCUGAAUUUGAAACGCAAUCCGGCAGAGAAAAGAAACUUAAGUAACCACCAGUUGAAACUGAGCGAGGAUGCCUCUCCUAAUGGAAGUUACGGGCCCAAACCGGGUUAUGAGCUCAACGAAAAAAAAA
RNAcentral lists this long non-coding RNA (20653 nucleotides) under Triticum aestivum (bread wheat). RNAcentral's name for it is "long non-coding RNA (TAES_LNC025302)". The record is from RNAcentral. Lineage: Eukaryota; Viridiplantae; Streptophyta; Magnoliopsida; Poales; Poaceae.